AUGAACGCUGGCGGCGUGCCUAAUACAUGCAAGUCGAGCGAACAGACGAGGAGCUUGCUCCUUCGACGUUAGCGGCGGACGGGUGAGUAACACGUAGGUAACCUACCUAUAAGACUGGGAUAACUUCGGGAAACCGGAGCUAAUACCGGAUAAUAUUUCGAACCGCAUGGUUCGAUAGUGAAAGAUGGCAUUGCUAUCACUUAUAGAUGGACCUGCGCCGUAUUAGCUAGUUGGUAAGGUAACGGCUUACCAAGGCAACGAUACGUAGCCGACCUGAGAGGGUGAUCGGCCACACUGGAACUGAGACACGGUCCAGACUCCUACGGGAGGCAGCAGUAGGGAAUCUUCCGCAAUGGGCGAAAGCCUGACGGAGCAACGCCGCGUGAGUGAUGAAGGUCUUCGGAUCGUAAAACUCUGUUAUUAGGGAAGAACAAACGUGUAAGUAACUGUGCACGUCUUGACGGUACCUAAUCAGAAAGCCACGGCUAACUACGUG
This 496-nucleotide ribosomal RNA is filed under the name uncultured bacterium. RNAcentral's name for it is "partial 16S ribosomal RNA". It matches the Rfam family "Bacterial small subunit ribosomal RNA", at positions 29 to 507 of the family's 1533-position model. The record is from RNAcentral.